This 395-nucleotide ribosomal RNA is filed under the name uncultured bacterium. RNAcentral describes it as "bacterial SSU rRNA". It matches the Rfam family "Bacterial small subunit ribosomal RNA", at positions 505 to 898 of the family's 1533-position model. The record is from RNAcentral.
GUGUCAGCAGCCGCGGUAAUACGUAGGGACCAAGCGUUGUUCGGAUUUACUGGGCGUAAAGGGCGCGUAGGCGGCGCGGUAAGUCACUUGUGAAAUCUCUGAGCUUAACUCAGAACGGCCAAGUGAUACUGCAGUGCUAGAGUGUGGAAGGGGCAAUCGGAAUUCUUGGUGUAGCGGUGAAAUGCGUAGAUAUCAAGAGGAACACCUGAGGUGAAGACGGGUUGCUGGGCCAACACUGACGCUGAGGCGCGAAAGCCAGGGGAGCAAACGGGAUUAGAUACCCCGGUAGUCCUGGCCCUAAACGAUGAAUACUUGGUGUCUGGAGUUUUAAUGCUCCGGGUGCCGUCGCUAACGUUUUUAGUAUUCCGCCUGGGGAGUACGCUCGCAAGAGUGAA